UCACUUAGUUUCGGGAUGUCAAACUACAGAUCUCCUUGCUUGACUUAUUCUAGCUAAAACAUGAUGCAAAAGGUACGAGGACAUAUCUCUGCUUCUUUACGCUUUAUUAAGUUGUUUCAUUUCUCUUUCAGCUUUCCCUUGCGGUACUUUUUCUAUAGCUUCUAUUUCUUUUUCUAUCGCCUAUACUAAAGAGGAAAAAUGGUUUGUUUGGUAAAUACAGUGCAUUAGGGGGUAUUAAUAACUAAAGGUUGAAUUUACUUUCUGAGCUAGCUGUUCAGCA
This 280-nucleotide ribosomal RNA is filed under the name Tripterygion delaisi xanthosoma. Its description in RNAcentral is "partial 16S ribosomal RNA". Lineage: Eukaryota; Metazoa; Chordata; Actinopteri; Blenniiformes; Tripterygiidae. The record is from RNAcentral.